Long non-coding RNA from Pieris rapae (cabbage white), 477 nucleotides. RefSeq lists it as uncharacterized. The record is from RefSeq and is a predicted model, not a curated record. NCBI's taxonomy places the organism in Eukaryota, Metazoa, Arthropoda, Insecta, Lepidoptera, Pieridae. The transcript has 2 exons.
AUUACGCAAAUCUUUCAACUCCUAUAAAAAGCAAAUCUUUUUUAAACUUGAGCCAGUAGACAUAUUUACUCCAAAAUGAGGUUGUUUAUUGCUUGUGUAACCAUUCUCGGAGUGGCUAAAGCUGCCUUGGCGAUAGUGCCGCUUUGCGGGUGCAAACCAACGUCGCCAGUCUGUGGGAGCGACUUGAAGACGUACAGCAGUGAAUGCAGCUUGGCUUGCGAUAACCAUUACAGCUUGAACCCUCCAGUGCUUAUAUACAAUGGCCCGUGUGAAGAUCUAUUGCCAGUUAAGCCGGACCCCAUUAACCCAUACCCCAUUAAUCCAUACCCCAUUAACCCAUACCCCAUUAACCCAUACCCCAUUAACCCAUUUGACCCAUACAAUCCCAAUCAACCCUGCAAUCCGUUCGACAUUUAUAACCCAUGCUUAUACUUAGGUGCUCAUAAAAAACCCUAAAUCAAAAUAAAGCAUUAACAU